AAGCAAGAAGCGAUAAAUCGCAACCAACUUCGACCUGGUUAAAUAGGUAGAUAUUCCUACCCUUACUUA
This 69-nucleotide transfer RNA is filed under the name Tauritermes triceromegas. Its description in RNAcentral is "tRNA-Arg". Lineage: Eukaryota; Metazoa; Arthropoda; Insecta; Blattodea; Kalotermitidae. RNAcentral also lists the same sequence under 1 other name. The record is from RNAcentral.